This 74-nucleotide transfer RNA is filed under the name Podarcis lilfordi (Lilford's wall lizard). RNAcentral describes it as "tRNA.Ile". The record is from RNAcentral. Lineage: Eukaryota; Metazoa; Chordata; Lepidosauria; Squamata; Lacertidae.
GCCCAGAUGGCUCAGUUGGUUAGAGCAUGGUGCUGAUAACACCAAGGUAGCAGGUUUGAUCCCCAUAUGGGACA